Molecule: non-coding RNA, 83 nt
Filed under: Xanthomonas campestris
Lineage: Bacteria; Pseudomonadati; Pseudomonadota; Gammaproteobacteria; Lysobacterales; Lysobacteraceae
Also listed under: 2 other names
Description: sRNA-Xcc1
Rfam family: sRNA-Xcc1
Source: RNAcentral
GUCGGGAGGGCGGCCAAUACAACACCCGCAAGGGGAAUACGCCCGCCGUCUGUACGCGGUUUCUAACCUCCCGACAUCCCGUC